This 72-nucleotide transfer RNA is filed under the name Candidatus Gottesmanbacteria bacterium RIFCSPHIGHO2_01_FULL_40_15. RNAcentral's name for it is "tRNA-Asn". It matches the Rfam family "tRNA". From Rfam's summary of the family: Transfer RNA (tRNA) molecules are approximately 80 nucleotides in length. Their secondary structure includes four short double-helical elements and three loops (D, anti-codon, and T loops). Lineage: Bacteria; Candidatus Gottesmaniibacteriota. RNAcentral also lists the same sequence under 4 other names. The record is from RNAcentral.
UCCUCUGUAGCUCAACGGUAGAGCGGCUCCCUGUUAAGGAGAAGGUUGUAGGUUCGAAUCCUACCGGAGGAG